Long non-coding RNA from Vulpes vulpes (red fox), 1581 nucleotides. The record is from Ensembl. Lineage: Eukaryota; Metazoa; Chordata; Mammalia; Carnivora; Canidae.
GCGCUGGCGGCAGCCCAGGGUCCCCCGGCCUGGGCAGGUGGGGGGGGGGGGCUCCCGGAGGAAGCCGUGCUGUCACUCACGGACUCUGCUGAAUGCAGAUGCCCCCGAACCUGGUCGGAUUGUUUUCUCCGCGUCCCCUGCUGGGGCAGAUGUCGCAGGGGUGGACGUUUCUGCAGACACAGGCCUGGUGGGGGCCGGCACUGCAUUUUGUCUGGGGUUGAGCUUCUCGUGCAGAAGCUGGCGAAGCGAAGGAGGCCUCUGCUUAAACUUGACCUCCUGGCCACUCGGAGUGACCCCUCAGUGGCCGGGCCCCAGAGGGCUGGAGGGAAGCCCAGUGAACCUCUUGUGCCUCUGCCAGCUACAGCGGUGGGCGUGAUGUUGACCCCAUUGUGACAGCAACAGCCUCCUCCCAGUGGCUCUGGGAGGCCUUUGCUCAUUCCCGCUACACACGAGGAAACUGAGGCUCGGCGGUGGGGCUGAGCCACUGGCUUCCAGGUUCACCUAGCCCCAAGGGGUCUGGGCCGGGAUUUGAACGCAGCCCUCCNNNNNNNNNNNNNNNNNNNNNNNNNNNNNNNNNNNNNNNNNNNNNNNNNNNNNCCAUGUACCGCCCCUCCCCUCACUCCAUCUCCUUCAUGUCCCUGUUCCCAGCCCUGCACUGGCACCUACCCUGGGAGGGGGCGCUCAGCGGGCCCAUCCCCCUCCUGGAACCCCCCACCGGACCUCCCUGGAGUUUGUGACACUUUAUGGGGAUGGACACACUGAAGACUUUCUGUGGCCAAAAUUGCUCGAUGGGAGAGUGAACGGUACCUGCAUGGUGAUUUGUGGCCUUGACAAGUGGACGGUCAGGCCUGCAGACACUGGGUGCCUGGGAUCUGCUGUCCCGCACGCUGCCUGUCCCCCUGGCUUCCUGGUCCUGCCACAGCCUGAGGUCUCAUGAACGUGAGGAGCCGUCGCAACCUGCGAGCAGGUGGCAUCGCCCUGCUCCAAACCCACAAGUGCAGAGCAGACCAGCAGGUCCCAGCGAGAAGGCUGCUGUCCCCAGGGCCAGCCCUGCCCCCGAGGCCUCAGGGGUUGGCUCUGGGCUCACCAGACGCCCCGGCCUGCAAGGAGAGGACCCCGUCGAUUAAAAUACCAUCAUCUGUGAGAAGCAUUGGGUUGAAGGUGCCAACACAUUCACCUUGAAGGAUCAUUAUAAGCAACUCUGAAGGUUACAGGGAAUCUGAUGGAAAUCAGACCUAAAAAUAAUUAGGCCUUGUUAAACACACACACACACACACACACUGUGCAGAGAAAAACCAGGACAAAUGGACAGAUGGGGCUCAAAGACGUGGCGCGAUGGAGAAUCCACAUUCUGCACACGUUGUGUUUGCACGUCUGGGUAAUCAAAGCAUGGGACCGACCGGCUUGCUUUUCCAAUGUAUCUUACCAUGCACUCGUGUAAUUUGGAUAAACGAUUUCAGAAAUAGUUGUACUGUCUUUAAAAAGGUUUUGAAUAUAGGGGCACCUGGGGGGUUCAGUUGGUUGAGCGUCCGACUCCUAGUUUCCCCUCGGGUCAUAAUCUCAGUGUCACGGGAUCGAGCC